This 872-nucleotide unclassified non-coding RNA is filed under the name Portunus trituberculatus (swimming crab). Its description in RNAcentral is "oocyte zinc finger protein XlCOF14-like, transcript variant X1". Lineage: Eukaryota; Metazoa; Arthropoda; Malacostraca; Decapoda; Portunidae. The record is from RNAcentral.
UAUUAAUGACCACUGUCUUCACUAUUUCAAUCACCACUUAAGUAUCUGAAGCUGUAUAAAAUCACCAAAUAGUAAGCAGAAUGAAUAUGGAAAUACGCCAUAGUACUUAAAGGGUUAAUGGGCAGUCUAACCCUCCACCUCGUGACAUAAUUUCUCUUAUUCUUAGUUUUACAGCCUUGAAGUAUGCACAACAAACAGCACACCAUUAAUUCAUCCUUUUAUCUUUAUUUGUGGGUAAAGUGAGUGUGUGUACGCCGCUAAACAAUGACAAAAUAGUUAAAUGGCAGUUUGCUUUAGUUCAUCCCUCCGCUUUCCUUCUGCUAAUAUGGCGGAUGUUGUGUAGAAAAGCGACGCCUUGUGUGUGUGUCCUGUCGCCCUAUAUAGUUCCUACCCACUAGCCUACUGUCACGCUGGGAAGCUAGGCCUAUACGUGGGGACUCGGGAGGUGUACUUGUGGUGGUGGUGGCUGGUCCGGAAUGCGUACCGGCCAGUCGUUCCUGAGGCUGGCAGGGAGACAGGGAGGCAGGGAGGAACACCGGAGCAUUGUUGUGCCACUGUACGGUGUCCAGGCCGGGUGCCCUGCUGGGCUCUGACGUGGCUCCAUCCGGCCAGCUGCCCAGAGGGUUCCUGCAGUGGAGGGGUGAGGCCCAGCAGCAGCAUGAGUGAACAGCAGCAGCAGCAGCAGCAGCAGCAGUCUGCCUCAGGUGUGGGGAGGUCCAGGCAUGGUGCCAAGAAUGACCUGGAGGCAGGCAGCUCCACCCACAGAGGAGAGAGAAAGUUUGUGUGUCAGCUGUGUGAUAAAAGUUUUACAUCCAGAAAAGGACUUAGACUACACACCCUGACACACAGUGGUGUUAGAAAUUAUGAGUGUC